CUUUUGUUAACUGCAUACUUUGAUUAUAAUAUGUAUUCAAUCAUAUGUCAGUCUUGGGACUGCUUUGGACUAUUUUCUUGAACCGUGGAUCUAUCAAAAACAACCUCUCUACCUCUAAGGUCGAGGUAAGGUCUGUAUACAAUCUACCAUCCCCAAACUCCACUUUGCGGGACUACAUUAGGAUGUUGUUGUAAUCAUGUCUCUGUUCCAAGUUUAAUUGCAUACUUUUGGAAGCUAUCAAUUCUUAUCGGGUGUUAUAUUUGACAUGGAAAUGUAGUUUUUAAAUUUGCCAUAUUUGCUGCAUUUCUUUUUCUUUGGUAACAGUUGCUGCCUUUAGUUUUGAUACACCUUUACAUGUUUAAAGUUUGUGGCUUUCACAAACAAAAUUUUGUUAGGUGGGAAUUCCUUGAUGAUAAACUUUUUCUAGCCUAGUGUGGUGCAUGAAUUGCUCUGGAUUUUUGCUUACAUUGCCUUAAGAAACUUGUAGAAGUACUUUAGAAAACAACCUAGAGAUUCUAGGUCCGAAUCCCAACAAUACACCUGCUGUGAGACGAUCAACUGUAAAUUGUUGGAUUACUUUGGCAAUUUAUGCUUCUGAAUUAAACAGACUGCUUGAUGGAUUAGUUGAGGUGCACAUAAGAUUAAGGAAUGACCAACAACCCAAAUUUUAAAAAAGUAAAAGCACUUCAGAAUCUUCUGUGAAGAGUUGGAUCCAUUGACCUCCAAGUUAUGAUGGGAAUUUUCUUCAAUUUCAAGGAAUCGUAUAAUGGCUCAUCUGUUCAUUGUAUUUAUUAUCUUAGUUUCCUUAACCGCAUUCAUCAAUGCAACAUCUAUCAAGCUGACCUUUCUAAUUAUUGAUUCUCGUGGUUUUUCCCUUAUAGACAACAAAAGUGAGAUUUGUCUUUGAUGAUGAAGCUCUGAAGGUGAAAGUUGGGGAGCAACUCGCGGAGUCAGGUGAAGAUGUUUUUGUGGGUGGAAAGAACCGCUGGAAAUAUUUGUCAUUUGUGAACUGGGAGCUAUGGUGGCCAUCUUUUUCAAUUUUGCUAUAUUUUAAAGAGAAACAGACAAAACCCGAGGGACAAGUGCACUUUUUCCCAGUAAUAUUUAACGGGAAGCAACUGUAUAAUGUUAUGAUGGAGAGAUGUGGCCCUUCAAAAACUAGCGGACCAAAGUAGUGCAGCACGGGCUCCAGGGGAAGACGAAGAUGAACCAGACAAGCCAUAAGAUCAGACUUAGUAACAAGGAGUGUAAAGCUAGGUUGCUGAUGGAGCAGUUACAUGCCCUUCAAUUUCCUAUCAUUUAGUUGGCACCAAGAAAAUUCAGCAAGAGCUUACAAAGCCCAAUGUACUUGAAAGAUUUUUGGAAAACAAAGAUGACAUUACCACAACA
Capsicum annuum is the source of this 1389-nucleotide long non-coding RNA. RefSeq lists it as uncharacterized. NCBI's taxonomy places the organism in Eukaryota, Viridiplantae, Streptophyta, Magnoliopsida, Solanales, Solanaceae. The transcript is spliced from 6 exons. The record is from RefSeq and is a predicted model, not a curated record.